RNAcentral lists this long non-coding RNA (1396 nucleotides) under Marmota monax (woodchuck). The record is from RNAcentral. Lineage: Eukaryota; Metazoa; Chordata; Mammalia; Rodentia; Sciuridae.
CCUAUUGAAGUCUAGUUGAAAAAUUACUCUGGGAUGGCCUAUCUAACAACUUUUCAAGAAUUUUCCUGAAAGACCUGGUUGAUCAGAAUAUUAGCUAUCCAGCAUUUAGAAUUUAGUUCGGUGAUAGAGUACAUUUCUGACAUGCCCAAGAACAUGGUUUCAAUCCAAAUCACCAACAGAGUAAUAAAGCAAUAAUAAUAAUGACAAUAAUAAAUAAAAAUGAAAAUAUUUUCUGUCUACAAAACAACCAAUAGUUCAAAAAUGUUUGCUUGCUCAUCUGAAUAACUCUAUGGAUGCUAUAUUCAUCAUAGUGUCUAAUAGAUAUGGUGACACAAAUUGGUAGCUGCAUGUUGCCCUGAUUCUUCUAGAACCUAUUGGUGCCAAGCAUCUCUGGACCAGGAAGACUCUCACCUUUGAUUUGAAGGCAGACAAAAUGAAAACACUAUAUAGCAUGCUCUCAGUUUCCUUGUUUUCCUAGCUAGCUUCUUUGGUCCCACCCUUACUUUCUCUUCCUUUUAGCUUUUCCAAAGGAACCUCUAGUGUUGGAAGCUUGAUUCUUUACAUUUUACAUUCUUUGUAUGAAUCAUUUUCACCCCUUCUGGCCUAACAAUGUAGCAAAUUUUUCUUAGAAUAUGAUUUCUAUGUCUUUGUUUUUUGAGCUCUUCACAACUUCCAAGUGACAUGCUCAGAAUGAAAGCAAGAUUUAUGCUUGUACUUGAACUGCUUGUGUCCUGAACUAUAGGAACAAAUAGUUGUUUAUUUAUAUUUCCCAAUGGACAUCCUAUUGGUGGCUCCAAAAUAUGCUGUCUGAAGAUGAAGAUCUUUGGAGUCACCUUAAAAUAUAAUUGACAUGUAGAGGCAAAGACACGCUGAGUCAGAGUGAACUUUUAAACAUUAUCUACAAGAGAUGAUUCAUUACAGUUUCAAGAGUGAAAUUGUUUGGCUUCCAAUAGCUCUACCUUAACUUGAAUGUAACUUUGUGUUUCCCUAGUAUUUCCACCCUCAAAUGAAAGUUUAGAAAGAGCAGUAAUCUUUCCAAAGUGAAUUUUAGAUAUCUGUAGAUUUGUGGAUCACUCCAUAACAAUUCAUACUUCUUUCUAAUUCCCUAAUUUAUUUUUCUGCCUAUAUACUUUUUGUAGGUAAUAGCAACAUAUUUUGUGUUACUAAAUUUUACACAUUUAUAAUCAGUUGUGAUAAACAAAAUUAACACUGUGGGGUCACUUCUUCAGUGCUCAAUUUUUUUUUCCAACUAUGACUAAGUAAAGAAUAUUGGGAAAAUUUUACUCAACUUAUAAUUCAACUUUGGAACUGAAAACUCACAAAUUCUUUCCAUACAUUGAAAUCCCUGCUUUAUUCCUUCUCAUAUGUGACUUGAAUUUGUUUCUGUUCACUGAGU